Molecule: ribosomal RNA, 265 nt
Filed under: uncultured archaeon
Lineage: Archaea
Description: partial 16S ribosomal RNA
Rfam family: Archaeal small subunit ribosomal RNA
Source: RNAcentral
ACACGACUACAUUAGAUACCCCGGUAGUCCUAGCCGUAAACGAUACUCGCUAGGUGUCGGCCACGGUGCGACCGUUGUCGGUGCCGUAGGGAAGCCGUGAAGCGAGCCACCUGGGAAGUACGGCCGCAAGGCUGAAACUUAAAGGAAUUGGCGGGGGAGCACCACAACGGGUGGAGCUUGCGGUUUAAUUGGAUUCAACGCCGGAAAUCUUACCGGGACCGACAGCAACAUGAAGGCCAAGCUGAAGACUUUGCCGGAUUAGCUG